UUUCUCUUGGACAAGUAUAUAGUUAGUUCCUGUACCAUAUUAUCUCGUGCGUGGGGGGUUCUGCUAUCCCAUCUUAAUGUUCAAAAUUCAUGCAUGGAAGCCUAGUCUGUAAACACUAACAGCUGCAGAUUUAUGAGUGUGGGUUUUCAUAGUUUGGAUGUGAGGUUUUGUGCUAAUUCUAUGAUUGUGGGUUGGCAGGUUAAAUCAUGCGGGUGGGGGCAGGAAGGGUGGAAAACAUGUUGCUGAAUUUGUUUAUAGACGAGGGACUACGAUUGCACUAGUAACUCUGUGUGUGUGUCUUUGGGAAUCCAGUUUCUACUUGUUACCCCUAGUUUCUCCUUUUUAAAGUUGUAUGAAAUGAAAUGGUUUGUGACAUUUUGGAGGACGUUUUAUAUUUGUUCAGAAACCAACCCAGAAUUGCUUAUUUGUUAUACAGAAGCCAUGUGUUGCUGCUGAUGUAUUUUCAUCAUCAAAAAGCGCUCUCUAUCUCUUAUUAGCUAUUAUUUCUAUGUAGAAUGUAAAUCAUUCUCAUCUCACCAUCAGCUUUUACUCUCAAGUAACUGCUGCCUAUCUUGCAUGUGCAUAUGGUUUCGAAAUUAAUAUAAUAUAUGUUUUAUUUAA
RNAcentral lists this long non-coding RNA (621 nucleotides) under Linum usitatissimum (flax). Its description in RNAcentral is "long non-coding RNA (LUSI_LNC005229)". Lineage: Eukaryota; Viridiplantae; Streptophyta; Magnoliopsida; Malpighiales; Linaceae. The record is from RNAcentral.